CCAGCAGCCGCGGUAAUUCCAGCUCUAAUAGCGUAUACUAAAGUUGUUGCAGUUAAAAAGCUCGUAGUUGGAUUUCGGAACUGAACAGUUUACCAGUCGGCCGUCAAGGUCUGUAUUGGUCUGUUCGUUCUCACCUAUGGGAUGCUCACCGCUACUCUUAACUGGGCGGCGGCUUCAAAAGCAUGUGUAGGGCAAAACGGUAUACGUCUCGCGCGUGUACUGCCUACAUGUGUGGAGUUCCCAUUCGUUUACUUUGAAUAAAUUAGGGUGUUCAAAGCAGCCAAAAAAGGAGGCAUGGAUACUACAGCAUGGGAUAACGGAAUACGAUUUCGGUUCGAUGUUUCGUUGGU
Molecule: ribosomal RNA, 350 nt
Filed under: uncultured eukaryote
Lineage: Eukaryota
Description: SSU rRNA
Rfam family: Eukaryotic small subunit ribosomal RNA
Source: RNAcentral